Molecule: transfer RNA, 71 nt
Filed under: Loxodonta africana (African savanna elephant)
Lineage: Eukaryota; Metazoa; Chordata; Mammalia; Proboscidea; Elephantidae
Rfam family: tRNA
About the family: Transfer RNA (tRNA) molecules are approximately 80 nucleotides in length. Their secondary structure includes four short double-helical elements and three loops (D, anti-codon, and T loops).
Source: Rfam by way of RNAcentral
AUAUUGGUGGCUCAGUGGUUGAAUUCUCGCCUCGUGUGUGGGAGACCUGGGUUCAAUUCCCAGCCAAUACA